AAUGAACGUUGGCGGCGUGGAUUAGGCAUGCAAGUCGAACGCCCCGCAAGGGGAGUGGCGCAAGGGUGAGUAAGGCGACGGUAACCAACCCCGCAAUUGGGCAUAGCCGAGGGAAACUUCGGGUAAUACCCAGCGAUGUUGAGUGGUGGCAUCACUGUUCAACCAAAGAUCCGUCGUUGCGGGACGGGCCGUUGUGGUAUUAGCUUGUUGGUGAGGUAACGGCUCACCAAGGCGGCGAUGCCUACCGGGUGUGCGAGCAUGACCCGGCACACUGGGACUGAGACACUGCCCAGACUCCUACGGGAGGCUGCAGUCGAGAAUCUUCGGCAAUGGGCGCAAGCCUGACCGAGCGACGCCGCGUGGAGGACGAAGGCCUUCGGGUUGUAAACUCCUGUCGAGGGGGAGGAAGGCGAAAGCUUGACCGAUCCCUGGAGGAAGGACGGGCUAAGUUCGUGCCAGCAGCCGCCGU
RNAcentral lists this ribosomal RNA (469 nucleotides) under uncultured bacterium. Its description in RNAcentral is "bacterial SSU rRNA". It matches the Rfam family "Bacterial small subunit ribosomal RNA", at positions 28 to 521 of the family's 1533-position model. The record is from RNAcentral.